GUCCGUCUACCCGUAGCUCCUAUCCAUGUUACUGGUCAAAAAGUGAACAUGGAAGCAGGUACAGGUGCACGGCGA
MicroRNA precursor from Caenorhabditis elegans, 75 nucleotides. It matches the Rfam family "mir-10 microRNA precursor family". Rfam says of the family: In this case the mature sequence comes from the 5' arm of the precursor. The extents of the hairpin precursors are not generally known and are estimated based on hairpin prediction. The products are thought to have regulatory roles through complementarity to mRNA. NCBI's taxonomy places the organism in Eukaryota, Metazoa, Nematoda, Chromadorea, Rhabditida, Rhabditidae. The record is from Rfam.